Onychomys torridus (southern grasshopper mouse) is the source of this 1494-nucleotide long non-coding RNA. RefSeq lists it as uncharacterized. Lineage: Eukaryota; Metazoa; Chordata; Mammalia; Rodentia; Cricetidae. The record is from RefSeq and is a predicted model, not a curated record. The transcript has 3 exons.
CUCUCGCUCUCUCUCUCUCUCUCUCUCCCUCUCUCUCAAGGACGAAGUGAAAUCCCUCGGCUGGUCAUGAGGCAGCUUCGGAGACAACACAAUGCUGGUGCAAAUAAAUAACAAAAGGCGAAAAAGACAGUGGGAACAAUGGGGGAGGCGAGGGCAGCGCUCCAGCCGCCGGUGACCGUGGCCAGCGCGCGCCCCGGGGUGCGGCGGGCGGGGGCGGCACAGCGCGGGGGCCGGGAUUGCUGCAGGUUGUCCCCCAGAACCUGGGGUCCACCCUGACCUCCUGCCCGCGGCCGCGCGCCUGUAUCGGAAGCCCGGGAGCCCCUUACGGUCUUCCUGCUCUGCCGCAGCCCAACUGGCUUGUAAAUAACGCACCGAUCACCCACACCGUGCAGGAAUUUUUUUCUUCCUUUAAUCUGUCCUCCACUUAAAGACGAAAUGUCAGGAGUGGAAGGAGGAGGGUAGGAGAGGGGAGCUCGCGUCUAUUCCUGAGACAUCGUGUCUGGUCAAGUCCCCUUUGUCAACUUCUUUCUCGCCCUGCGCCCACCCCCGUGUGCAAACAGGCUUUCACCGGAUGGCACGGGCACGCGCGUGGGGAGUCUGUGUGUGUCCGUGGAACCUUCUAGGUGGUCAGCAGACCCUGGCUGGAGAGCCCGGAGUCUCUGGCCACUAUUGCCUUCCCUGAGCCUGGCUCUGCACCCAGGUCCCCCGCUGCUGCCUUUUACAGCGCUCCUCACUCACCCACUCUUUGGGGGAGAGGGAUGGAAGGAAAGUUCAGAAGCUCUCUGAUCUCCACCUCUGGGGUGGCUGAAGUGGUUUGAUUCUGUGUGCAUUCAGCCAAGAAAAAAAAAAAAUUAUCACCGGAUGCCCAAGAGCCAGAGGUUGAUAUUGAGGGCGAGAUGAGGCUGGGCACUGAGUUCCGGAGCUGCGCCACUCGGGAGCGCGAGUUACAUCACCCACCAGCAGAAACUCGAGCAGAGCCCUUGGAGCAGCUUGGGAACCAGGCUCAGGACCUGCCAGUCAAAGGCUGGCUCUCUCUGGCUGACUUAUUCCCUGACUCCUGUCUACAGCACAGUUGUUAAGAAGCAAUACAGACAGUGUCUGGAUGCCCAGGACACCCACAAGCUUGAAAAGGUGCUUCUCGAUUUCUGCCCCUUUUAUCCUUGCACAGACUUGCAAGAAGUGUGACAUUCCUGCUCUGCAGAAGAGAGAAGGGAAGCUUGGCAAGGCCCAGGGACUCAUCAAAGGCCUUGAUGUAUGGGAGCCACAGCACCAGGGUGCACAUCGGACUUGGCCAGCUCCAAGACAGGCCAUUCCACUUCCCCUUGACUCCUCCCAUAUCAUGCCAAGGCCAGUUCACAGUGGCAAAUAUUAGGUCAUUAUAUAUGUACAACUUAAGAUAACAAAUUUAACAUUGGGUUCCAGUUCAUGAGUAGAGAACUUGUCAUUAAUAGAGCACUUGUCUAGCAUGUACAUGACUCUGGUCUGGGUUCCCAU